GGCCUGCACGAGGAGGGCAGAGUCCGUUGCGGCUGCCGCCCCGACGCCCGCGCAUCCCCGCUCGCCGCGCCCGCCGCCGCGAUGUCCGGGGCCGGCCUAGCCGCGGUGGUGAGCUGCCUGCGCCCGCAGCCCGGCGAGGAGCCGCAGACCCAUGAGGACCUUCUCCUGGCAGCUGCCUAUGUUUUGGAUGCCCAGUACAACAGAAAUGUUCCAUUUGAAACUCACCUCAGGCCAUCAGACGUUACUAUUUUUAUAACCACUAGACAACGCAGGUUGCCGCAUACUUCUUUAUUUGUGUAGACCUCGCUCUUGCCCUGUUUGAAGAGUCUGAGUUGCUUCCCCUGCCUUUCUUGGCCACCUCAAUAGCAGAAGUACUCUGCCUGACUGCAUACUUUGGCAGACUGGUACAUUUUGCAAAAGUCACUCCUCAAAUGGUUUUCUGGAAGGAUACAAAAGACAUCUGCACCAUGGUAACCACAGUGGCGAGUGUUCAUUGUAGUACCUGUAAGAGUUUAUGACCGAAGGCAGGAGCCAUGAAGAAAAAAGACUCAAUAGAUUUGCUUUUGAUGAAACAACAACACUUCCAUACAGUGAACGCCAUAAGCACAACUGCAAGCAAACCCCAAACUGAAGAACAAAUAGGGCAAAAUGUGGCAGUGCAGACAUUUCAGCAUAUCAAGAGCACUUCCAAAUUACAGGAAAAAAAAGAUAUCUCAAUAGAUAAUUUUGCUGAAGAUAAGUGAAGGCAACUCAUAAGGAAAAAAUAUGUAAAAUGGCCGAUAGGAAAGAUGUUUAACGUCACUAAUUAAAAAUUAUAGAAUAAAACGACAAUAAAAUACCAUGUGUUUGCCUAUAAAAAAUCUUAGCAAGAUUGAAAACAAA
Molecule: RNA transcript, 882 nt
Organism: Homo sapiens (human)
Lineage: Eukaryota; Metazoa; Chordata; Mammalia; Primates; Hominidae
Gene name: two pore channel 3 pseudogene
Exons: 4
Source: RefSeq, marked validated